UACGUAGGGGGCAAGCGUUGUCCGGAUUUAUUGGGCGUAAAGAGCGUGUAGGCGGUUAGGUAGGUCCGUUGUGAAAACUCGAGGCUCAACCUCGAGACGCCGAUGGAAACCAUCUGACUAGAGUCCGGAAGAGGAGAGUGGAAUUCCUGGUGUAGCGGUGAAAUGCGCAGAUAUCAGGAAGAACACCCGUGGCGAAGGCGGCUCUCUAGUACGGUACUGACGCUGAGACGCGAAAGCGUGGGGAGCGAACAGG
Molecule: ribosomal RNA, 253 nt
Filed under: uncultured bacterium
Lineage: Bacteria
Description: partial 16S ribosomal RNA
Rfam family: Bacterial small subunit ribosomal RNA
Source: RNAcentral